AAAGUCUUAACCUGGCACCAGAAAGAUAGCAGCGUUGGUGCCAGGCGAGCCUUGUCAAGGAGAUCAUUCCAUAGUCUGGGGGCCACCACCGAAAAGGCCCUGUCCCUCGCUGCCACACUCCGAUCUAAACACGGAGUACUAUUGUUAGGACUCUUCUUAGCUCUAGAGUUUUCAAAGUCCUUUGCAAAUUAAGUCUGGCUCUAAAAACACACACAUCAGAUUAAAUCAACAAAGAGUCUUGUGACACCUUAAACACUAACAGAUUUAUUCUGGUAGAAGCUGUUGUGGACUAUAGCCCGUCUUAUGCCAGAAUAAAUUUGUUAGUCCUUAAUACAAGAGCCUUUGUUAUUUUUGCUGCAAUAGGCAAACAUGGCUACCCUCUGGAAAUGUUACAAGUUGUAUUUAUUUGACUUCAAGGCUCUUCAGAAAUAGUCACCAACGGUAUGCUCUGUUACGAUUUGGAGGGGAGGAUGAUUCACAUGGUCACUUGUCCAUUUGUGCUGACUUCUGCCCCCGGCAUGGCAACUGUUCAUACAUAUCCUUCUACUAUGAUUGCAAAUUACCUGAUGCGUAUGGAAAAUGCAUUGUGGAGAGUUUCAUUCAUGGGUGAGUUGGUGCUUUGUCCACGAAACUGGUUUGCUAUGGCAGAUUCAAUCCUUGCAGACCAUUGGGGAGAAAAUGGUUGUGUGGACUGAAUUAGGUGUGAUUGUGGACCCUCAUGUUCAGUUGUGUCUUUGAGACUGAUCUUGCAGGAGAAGAUUCGUGAGAACUGGCAAUGCAUUCUUCCUUCAUCUUUGGGCUGACCCUGUAGUGUGGAAUUAGAUUUCCAUCCCAGAAGCCUUAUUUCCUUAGAGGAUGUUCCUCAACCAGGAACUUUUCAUCUGGAAACAGAUCUCUGUAGGAUAAACAACAUGAAAGCUGGUUGGAAGUCUCAUUGUCUGUUGUGUACCUACUGCCCUUUGUCACUAGCUAUGGGACAAGGGAUAGGAUGGAACGUGUUUUCAGAGACUUGUGUGUGUGUGUUUGUAUGUAUGUGCAUCAUCUGAGCUGUGCCUGCAUUGGAAGCACUAAUAAAACAUCCUGACCACA
Long non-coding RNA from Elgaria multicarinata webbii, 1089 nucleotides. RefSeq lists it as uncharacterized. NCBI's taxonomy places the organism in Eukaryota, Metazoa, Chordata, Lepidosauria, Squamata, Anguidae. The transcript is spliced from 2 exons. The record is from RefSeq and is a predicted model, not a curated record.